UUUUCGGCGAUAUGACGAGG
RNAcentral lists this unclassified non-coding RNA (20 nucleotides) under Chlamydomonas reinhardtii. RNAcentral describes it as "small RNA Cre_4174". The record is from RNAcentral. Lineage: Eukaryota; Viridiplantae; Chlorophyta; Chlorophyceae; Chlamydomonadales; Chlamydomonadaceae.